UGAACGAAGUUUUGUUGAUCCUUAGUUU
RNAcentral lists this non-coding RNA (28 nucleotides) under Bombyx mori (domestic silkworm). Lineage: Eukaryota; Metazoa; Arthropoda; Insecta; Lepidoptera; Bombycidae. The record is from RNAcentral.